UAUUGGACAAUGGGCGAAAGCCUGAUCCAGCCAUGCCGCGUGUGUGAAGAAAGUCUUCGGAUUGUAAAGCACUUUAAGUUGGGAGGAAGGGCAUUAACCUAAUACGUUAGUGUUUUGACGUUACCGACAGAAUAAGCACCGGCUAACUCUGUGCCAGCAGCCGCGGUAAUACAGAGGGUGCAAGCGUUAAUCGGAAUUACUGGGCGUAAAGCGCGCGUAGGUGGUUUGUUAAGUUGGAUGUGAAAUCCCCGGGCUCAACCUGGGAACUGCAUUCAAAACUGACUGACUAGAGUAUGGUAGAGGGUGGUGGAAUUUCCUGUGUAGCGGUGAAAUGCGUAGAUAUAGGAAGGAACACCAGUGGCGAAGGCGACCACCUGGACUAAUACUGACACUGAGGUGCGAAA
Molecule: ribosomal RNA, 404 nt
Filed under: uncultured bacterium
Lineage: Bacteria
Description: bacterial SSU rRNA
Rfam family: Bacterial small subunit ribosomal RNA
Source: RNAcentral